UACGUAGGGGGCAAGCGUUGUCCGGAAUUAUUGGGCGUAAAGAGCUCGUAGGCGGCCUGUUGCGUCCGCUGUGAAAGCCCGGGGCUUAACCCCGGGUCGGCAGUCGAUACGGGCAGGCUAGAGGUAGGUAGGGGAGAAUGGAAUUCCCGGUGUAGCGGUGAAAUGCGCAGAUAUCGGGAGGAACACCGGUGGCGAAGGCGGUUCUCUGGGCCUUACCUGACGCUGAGGAGCGAAAGCGUGGGGAGCGAACAGG
Molecule: ribosomal RNA, 253 nt
Filed under: uncultured bacterium
Lineage: Bacteria
Description: partial 16S ribosomal RNA
Rfam family: Bacterial small subunit ribosomal RNA
Source: RNAcentral